Molecule: ribosomal RNA, 397 nt
Filed under: uncultured bacterium
Lineage: Bacteria
Description: partial 16S ribosomal RNA
Rfam family: Bacterial small subunit ribosomal RNA
Source: RNAcentral
AUACGUAGGGGGCGAGCGUUGUCCGGAAUGAUUGGGCGUAAAGGGCGCGUAGGCGGCCUGUUAAGUCUGGAGUGAAAGUCCUGUUUUCAAGAUGGGAAUUGCUUUGGAUACUGAUGGGCUUGAGUGCAGGAGAGGUUAUCGGAAUUCCCGGUGUAGCGGUGAAAUGCGUAGAGAUCGGGAGGAACACCAGUGGCGAAGGCGGGUAACUGGACUGCAACUGACGCUGAGGCGCGAAAGUGUGGGGAGCAAACAGGAUUAGAUACCCUGGUAGUCCACACUGUAAACGAUGAAUGCUAGGUGUAAGGGGUAUCGACUCCCUCUGUGCCGCAGUUAACACAAUAAGUAUUCCGCCUGGGGAGUACGGCCGCAAGGUUGAAACUCAAAGGAAUUGACGGGG